GAGUGUAUGGAAAAGAAAACGUCACUUAAAUGAUGUGAUGCCUGAUGUGACACUCUGGUGUGAUGCUACAUUUUAUCCGGAUGUAAGCUCUUCAGAGGAAGGAUUACACCUCUGGAUCCACACUGUAUAUAAGAAAUUUUGGGGAAAACUGAGAAAAUUCAUCCUCUAACACUGGAAGACAAUAUUACUUUCAAAACAAAUUAUUAGCAUUUGGGAUAUCUGGCUUCUUUUCUCCAAAUCAUCUGUGACUUUAAGCAAGUCAUUCAGCUAAAAAUGUCUUUUAAACAUACGGCAGUGGAAGGGAACACUUUGAAAUGGUAACAACUUUAUUGCAGAGUAACAUUGACACAACCUAAAUGCACAUAAGUGUAAAAAUUGAAGAAGAAAUUAUGCUGUAAUUGGAAGAGAAAAUACUGCUGUCUUCAUUCCUUUUCAAAAGACAGAGAUCAGGAGUGAAAUCUCAGCGCUGUCAAAACCAGUGAAAACAAAUUCAGUCUUUAGAAGAAUCAGGAUUUUAUCUCAA
Meleagris gallopavo (turkey) is the source of this 523-nucleotide non-coding RNA. The record is from RefSeq and is a predicted model, not a curated record. Lineage: Eukaryota; Metazoa; Chordata; Aves; Galliformes; Phasianidae.